AGCUCACUUGGGAAAGCAGAAGACUGAAA
Molecule: transfer RNA, 29 nt
Filed under: Camchaya sp. Bunwong 328
Lineage: Eukaryota; Viridiplantae; Streptophyta; Magnoliopsida; Asterales; Asteraceae
Description: partial tRNA-Phe
Source: RNAcentral